AGAGAUUGGUCGAUUUUUCCGGAGGCAAAAUCAGGUGGAAAAAAAGAAAUGAUAAAGAAAAAAAGCAAAACUAUAUAAAAUAUACGAUAUACUAUACACGAUGGCUUCGUGUCACAACACAUAACUAGAUACAUAGAAGUGCAGCGACGCGGUAUACUCCACAUCGAGGAGAUACGUACGUACGUACAUCGAGUGGUACGUGAGACAGAGUGGCAAAAAAAUAUUAAAACAAUAAACCAAUCAACGAAGAUACGGAAAAAAAAACAAAACACCAGCAACAAUUAAAACACUGCAACGGUACGAUUAUGUAAAAAAAAAAAAAAGAAACAAAAAUAAAAAUAAAAAAUAUUAUUACAUAUGUGCCUGCACGUAAUUAUGAAUCUCCGGUAUACAGGCGCGGGUCAUCGUUGCAGAAUUAUGUGAAACUAGAUAAAAAAAAAAAAAAUACCGAAGUAUAUAUCGUCGUUUAAAAGUAUGAUGUACGGCGUGAAACGUACAAUGAAAAUGUGUAUGCAUACAAGUCGCGGCGUGCGUAUAAAAUCGUCAUAAUGAUGUGGAUAAAUCGAUGACGACGAUAAACCUCCGCACCGUGGAUUU
Molecule: unclassified non-coding RNA, 597 nt
Filed under: Athalia rosae (coleseed sawfly)
Lineage: Eukaryota; Metazoa; Arthropoda; Insecta; Hymenoptera; Athaliidae
Description: misc RNA ENSAEAG00005002902.1
Source: RNAcentral